Molecule: non-coding RNA, 83 nt
Organism: Rattus norvegicus (Norway rat)
Lineage: Eukaryota; Metazoa; Chordata; Mammalia; Rodentia; Muridae
Source: Rfam
UAAAGAAUUGAUGAAAACCAGUGAAGAUCAAACGUUCAUCUCAACUGCUUUUACAAAAGCAGAAUAAAAUGAAGUAAAAAUUC